This 254-nucleotide non-coding RNA is filed under the name Loigolactobacillus coryniformis. Its description in RNAcentral is "Lactobacillus coryniformis T-box sequence". It matches the Rfam family "T-box leader". From Rfam's summary of the family: Uncharged tRNA acts as the effector for transcription antitermination of genes in the T-box leader family. T-boxes are found upstream of many aminoacyl-tRNA synthetase genes and some amino acid biosynthetic genes usually in Gram-positive bacteria. The record is from RNAcentral. Lineage: Bacteria; Bacillati; Bacillota; Bacilli; Lactobacillales; Lactobacillaceae.
UAAAUCAAAAUGAAAAGAUGAGUAAAUUGAUUUGCUAUUUGAAGAGAGUCACUAAUUGGUGCAAAGUGACAUUAGCAGGCAGUUGAAGAUGGUCUUGGAUUUGAAUUACAGCUGAGCAUAGGCAAAGUUGUAACGGGCACUCCCGUUAACGAGUUAGAGUAUACCGAUUUUAGAUCGGUGCACUUGAAGAGGAAUGAUUCGUAAGGAUUAUUUAAAUUAAGGUGGUAACGCGGAAAAGCACUUUCGCCCUUGUA